AGCUCCGAGGUGUACUAACAUAUUAGAUUGCAAAUCUAAAGAAGCAGGCUAGGCGCCUGCCGGGGCUU
RNAcentral lists this transfer RNA (68 nucleotides) under Gnathodentex aureolineatus (striped large-eye bream). RNAcentral describes it as "tRNA-Cys". It matches the Rfam family "tRNA". From Rfam's summary of the family: Transfer RNA (tRNA) molecules are approximately 80 nucleotides in length. Their secondary structure includes four short double-helical elements and three loops (D, anti-codon, and T loops). Further hydrogen bonds mediate the characteristic L-shaped molecular structure. tRNAs have two regions of fundamental functional importance: the anti-codon, which is responsible for specific mRNA codon recognition, and the 3' end, to which the tRNAs corresponding amino acid is attached (by aminoacyl-tRNA synthetases). tRNAs cope with the degeneracy of the genetic code in two manners: having more than one tRNA (with a specific anti-codon) for a particular amino acid; and 'wobble' base-pairing, i.e. permitting non-standard base-pairing at the 3rd anti-codon position. The record is from RNAcentral. Lineage: Eukaryota; Metazoa; Chordata; Actinopteri; Spariformes; Lethrinidae.